This 76-nucleotide transfer RNA is filed under the name Verrucomicrobiota bacterium. Its description in RNAcentral is "Verrucomicrobia bacterium (activated sludge metagenome) tRNA-Arg". It matches the Rfam family "tRNA". From Rfam's summary of the family: Transfer RNA (tRNA) molecules are approximately 80 nucleotides in length. Their secondary structure includes four short double-helical elements and three loops (D, anti-codon, and T loops). Further hydrogen bonds mediate the characteristic L-shaped molecular structure. tRNAs have two regions of fundamental functional importance: the anti-codon, which is responsible for specific mRNA codon recognition, and the 3' end, to which the tRNAs corresponding amino acid is attached (by aminoacyl-tRNA synthetases). tRNAs cope with the degeneracy of the genetic code in two manners: having more than one tRNA (with a specific anti-codon) for a particular amino acid; and 'wobble' base-pairing, i.e. permitting non-standard base-pairing at the 3rd anti-codon position. The record is from RNAcentral. Lineage: Bacteria; Pseudomonadati; Verrucomicrobiota.
GCUCCCGUAGCUCAAUCUAUAGAGCACCGCGCUUCGAACGCGGAGGCUGGAGGCGAAAGUCCUUCCGGGAGCACCA